GCGGAGGAAAAGAAACCAACAGGGAUUGCCUCAGUAACGGCGAGUGAAGCGGCAAAAGCUCAAAUUUUAAAGCUGGCAUCUUCGGUGUCCGCGUUGUAAUUUUGUGAGGCAUCUCCGGGUAGGGCGCCGGCCUAAGUUCCUUGGAACAGGACGUCACAGAGGGUGAGAAUCCCGUGCUUGGCUGGCUGUCCCCGUCCAUGUGAGGUGUCUUCGACGAGUCGAGUUGUUUGGGAAUGCAGCUCAAAAUGGGUGGUAAAUUUCAUCUAAAGCUAAAUAUUGGUGGGAGACCGAUAGCGCACAAGUAGAGUGAUCGAAAGAUGAAAAGCACUUUGAAAAUAGAGUUAAAAAGUACGUGAAAUUGUUGAAAGGGAAGCGCUUGAGACCAGACUUCGGUAGGGGGUGAUCAGCCGUCCUUCUGGGCGGUGCACUUGCCCCCCUCCGGGCCAGCAUCGGUUGAGGCGGCGGGAUAAAGGUCCCGGGAAUGUGACUCCUCUCAAGGGAGUGUUUAUAGCCCGGGUGAAUGCCGCCAGCUUCGACCGAGGACCGCGCCCGCAAGGGUUAGGAUGCUUGGCAUAAUGGUCUUCAGCGACCCGUCU
This 596-nucleotide ribosomal RNA is filed under the name Morchella quercus-ilicis. RNAcentral describes it as "partial 28S ribosomal RNA". It matches the Rfam family "Eukaryotic large subunit ribosomal RNA", at positions 50 to 654 of the family's 3401-position model. Lineage: Eukaryota; Fungi; Ascomycota; Pezizomycetes; Pezizales; Morchellaceae. The record is from RNAcentral.